Molecule: transfer-messenger RNA, 359 nt
Filed under: human gut metagenome
Rfam family: transfer-messenger RNA
About the family: Bacterial tmRNA, also known as 10Sa RNA or SsrA, is named for its dual tRNA and mRNA-like properties. Its role is to liberate the mRNA from a stalled ribosome.
Source: RNAcentral
GGGGGUGUUACAGAUUCGAUUGGGCGACCGAAACGAAAAGCAAGCAUACCGAAGUCCCGGCUUCGUUAAAACGGGAAAAAUAAAAUUAAAUGCUAACAAUAAUUCUGAAUUAGCAUACGCUGCUUAAUUAAGCGUAAGUUCCGGACGGAGUUUUCCCGUCGGCACUGUUCGGGGCUUAAUUAAAGGCGGGGUACGGCAGUAAAAAUCUUGCCGCGUUUUUACUGCGGAAUUUAGCGGACUUGGUUUUUUUAUAGGUCGCCGACGACCGUGGAAAAACCGAAAUUCAAUCGUCGGAUAAGUAUGUAGAAAGUUUCGUUAAAGCGUUCAAGACCGGAGUGCAAGUCUCCGCAUCUCCACCA